Pomacea canaliculata is the source of this 2330-nucleotide long non-coding RNA. RefSeq lists it as uncharacterized. Lineage: Eukaryota; Metazoa; Mollusca; Gastropoda; Architaenioglossa; Ampullariidae. The record is from RefSeq and is a predicted model, not a curated record. The transcript has 3 exons.
UAUACACUAAUUCCUCGGUGUCAGUCAAAAAGGAGGAAGGAUACCUAUAUUUUAUGUCUGUAUCAAACUCAGUUACUAGAAUAGUAAUGUACCGAAAAGUCAAAAAUUUAUUAACUGCUGCAUUUGUGUUGUUGUUUUCACACAAGAUGCUAUGGGCUCAGAAGGAAAAGUGCGCAGAACUCGAGAUCUACUCAACAAGUGCCGACAGUAUAUUUAUCUCAGAAAACGACUUCAUUAACUUGUCUUUUGGAACAAACGUGUCCGCCUGUACGCAAGCUGGAUGUAGUCUUUAAAAUAGUCGUCAAGACCCAAUAGGUGCGGGUAUUAUUGAAGAGGAUGGCCGGGUGGAGUUGACGAAAGAUAGAUGUAAUGUUACAUCAGUCCAGCAUGUCACGUGCACUGGUCACAAUGGCGUGGCUGAGCUCUACAGACAGGUGAACACAUCUCAUGUAGCCAUAGAACUGACAAUGUGGUGGAAAGAAGACAUUCGGUAUAAGCUUCAACGGAAAAAACUUCAGCUUCAUGUUUCUCGCUCAUCAACAGACUCUUUUCCGACUGAUGAAAUUUCUCCAGUCGGCGAUAUUCCCCGAACAAAGAGAGGAAAUCAAACGAUAAAUACAGCACAGGAUUUUAAUGGGCUAGGUGAGUAAUUAAUUAAUUUAAACAUUUGAUGUAUCACUUCUGUUGGUCAAAAAGAGCAUGAACAACUCUUCCUAUCAUGUGUUACUUCAAUAUCAUUGGCAUGAUGUAGAGUUAUACAGAUGGUUUAAACAUCAUGGUGCAAUUUGGUGAUUUGGUUGGCGAUUUGGACUUUUCUCCAACUUCCACAAUUGGAAGGGAAAGAAUAAAACCUGACCUAAUGUUUUCAGCUCGCAGCUACAAAGUCAUGAUUAACAUAGUUAUAGUUAGGCAUCUACCUUUCAGUGCAACAAUAAGCUGAGAGAUCUACAAACAGGUUCUACAUCCUCCGUGUCCACACCUGUGGCCAGCGUGUCAAAGAGGACCUGGAGGUGGUCCAAUGUUGGGGCCAGACCAUACAUGGGGGUCAGCACUGUCUUGUAUUUGUCACACUGGACACACAAGGUGUUGAUAUGACAACAAUUGCAGUUUAGUGACAAGAGACAGUGCUAACCUCUGUAAGGUCUGGAAGAACCGUCCUGACACUGCGACUAGAGUGGUUCAGAAACUGUGAUGACGAGUCGUGAUAUCUGCGUUUUAGCAAAAAAAUAACUUCUGAGCUUGCUGCCCUGUCUUCAGAAGUUGUAACCAAUUUGUUUACCUCGGCUUUUUUUACCCUGAUCUGACAACAUUUCUUGAGGUUAAAAAAAAACAAAUGAAAAAAGGACCAAAAAGGCUGAGGACAGGAAAACCCACAUUCAACUGAUGCUUGAUCUCCAGUCUAACCAAAUGGGUGAGUAGUUUUCAUAGUCUAAAUAUACAUAUGCCUUUCCAUGCAUCAAAGCUACAUUUUUUUCAGUUAAUAAGACACCAAACCAAUGGUGUAAUAAUUUGUUGGCAACAAAUUUAUCUUGUUCAAACAGCUUUAAUCCUAUUGUUUCUGUUGUACAUAAACGAAAUUCUAUGUUAUAUUUAUGUUCAGUUUUCUUGUGGUUUUGCUAACCUUUUUUCGCUUUAGGGGUACAAACGAUGCGAUUGGUGAAAUGGUGUGAGAGCUCACAAUGUUGGGAGUGGAGACUGUGUGAGUAGUUCUGGGUAUCUUUAAAUCCAGAAAAACUUGAACAUUAAAAUUAUUUUAAUGCUUGAAUAUCAGUUCCGUGAUGUUCAGUUGCCAAUUCAGAGACAUCUUUCGGGACGAAAUCUCAAAUAGUAUUAUUCUUUAACUUACAAACGUAUAUGGCUUUGUAAAUUUUUCUUUGAAUGAAUAUUCAUGCAUCAAGUUUGGUUAAAAUGUUUCAUCAGGUUUUAUACACUUUUCUUAUUUCCAUGAGAUAAACGCAGAUAUAUUCCUCCUCUUUAUCUCAUUUAAUAAAAACAACUGCGCUGUAUCAUGCUAAUACACACUUUUUAAGAAUAAACUUUUUCCUGUAAUUAUUUAAUUCAGUGACAGGUUUCUACAGUUGUGAUGGUUUGUUGAUAGUAAAAGGAGACAAAAAUUAAGAAAAAAAGCAAGAUUACAAAACGUUUUUGGUUUCAGUAACAAAAACAAAAACAAAAACAAAAAAAAACUCUCCAAAACAUUGACUGUAAAACAACUAACCCAGACAACAGUUCGAAUAUUCCUGGUUAUUUAGCAUUUGUCUCUCCAUCAUUAUGACCACGGUAUUUGUCAUUUGGUACAAUGGGAAGAACGCAAAGAGACGGUAAGUGAA